RNA transcript from Mangifera indica (mango), 2793 nucleotides. RefSeq lists it as uncharacterized. NCBI's taxonomy places the organism in Eukaryota, Viridiplantae, Streptophyta, Magnoliopsida, Sapindales, Anacardiaceae. The record is from RefSeq and is a predicted model, not a curated record. The transcript is spliced from 8 exons.
UGAGGUGCAUGUUUACUUAUUUAGACUCACGCGAUUGACAAAGAGCGUGAUCAACGCGCUUACUUUCUCGUCACUGCGACUCGAUGAGCCGUUCUUCUCGUCUCCAAUUCCUCGCCACCAUGUUGUAUCGCUUUGCUAAUACGAGAGGUAGAAAAACUAGAAGCUUUGCAAAUGGAUCAAACACCAGAGGGAGAGGCCAGUUCGUUACCGGAGACUCGCACUUACGUUCUGUCCGUCAAGGAAGCUUCUCUAACCAGCCACUUCAGCAACCGCCGCCGUCUAAUCAAAAUCAACAGUUCCGCUAUCCUCGUCCAUCGUUUUAUCAAAAUCAAGCAGUGCGGUCCCACCGUCGUAAGCCAUUGGAUUAUCGGGCAUGGGAGUACGCCAAGGUACCGCCGCCUCCAAAUUCUGAGCGGUUUUUAAUUCUCUCGUAUAAGUUGCUGGCCGACUACCUCGCUAUUGAUCACCGGGGCAAACUUUACCAUCACAUACCGCGUCACAUGCUAGACUAGGAGUGGAGGAAGAGAAGUAUAAUUUUUGAACUUGGAUUAUGGUCGGCAGACGUUAUGUGUUUUCAGACUUAGAGUCAGAGUUGAGGAUUAGAGGUUACAGUAGCAUUUGGAAGAUGCGAACUGGAAAUGCCAUUGAUGGAUGUGCAAUCUUUUGGCGAACAUCAAGGUUCGCUGUCUUCCUGUUUUUAUAGGUCUUGUUAAAUUUUGCAGUACUUGGCUUACUUCUAUCAUUUAAUUUGCUUGAUUCAUGGCAAUAGAUCUUAUUUUAAAUAUGUAGUCUCUUUUCUUUCAACCUCCAUUCUAACUUAUGAUGAGAUGUUGUCAUUUAGUGCAGCAAAGUCAUGGUUACUAGUCCUAAAGUGCCCCUGGGGAAGCUAGAAUAAAGUUUAGAGUCAUGCAGCCCUUUGGGUUAUAGAAGUUCCUGUUUACUAGGAGCAGUUGAAAUUAUAUUAAUAACCUCUUGUAAUGGCUAAUUAUAUCAAGAUAUCUCUGGUAUCUAUCUUUUAUCUCACUCUUGAAACUUGCUCAUAUAUUCUCUUCUUUGAUAUCUGUAAUAACAUCCAGUAGCUAUAAGGACUUUUUUCUACUUGGUUCUACUGUAGGUAAUGUCCGAAAUUUUGUCUCCAUAAUACUGGAUUCUAGUUAGUAUUUGGCUGCAUAUGUUUAGUUAGACUAUUUUUUAAUUCUUUUUCCUCUUGGUUUCUACUGGUCUCAAGAUUUCAAAUUAUUAUAUUGAAGUUCAACUUUGAUGUUCUUCUCAUAUUACUUAUAAAAAAAUUUUAUUGGUAAUGUAGUCUGAAAGUUCAUUUAAUGAUCUGUAUAUUAGAUUCAAAUUGCUGUAUGAGGAAUCCAUAGAGUAUAAUAAACUCAGACUUCAGGAUAAUGUUGCACAGAUAUGUGUGCUUGAGAUGUUGGGUCAAAAUUUCAAUGAAAAUGGACUGCCUCUCUCAACAAGGUAACUCAAGAAAUUAGUAAAACGCUUGUUUGUAUAUAUCAGGCUAAAUAUUUUCAUAAAUUUGGUAUGGAAUUAUCUCGAACAUCUUUUUGCUGUUUUUCACAAUAGUCGACGUGAGCAUUGCUGGUAGAAGUAUAUGAUCAAUAAACAUGUAUAUCUAAUAUCCGUGAUUAUGUAAAAGUUGUCUCUUCUUAAUUGAUUUCAUAUCCAUAAUAUUAAACACCAUUGAUAUAAAUCUUACUGGGUAUAAUUGCAAUUUGAUGAUCAAAUGAAAUGUUAAGAUUUGUGGUUUUGAUCUAUUCAAAGUAAAUUCUAAUCAUUUGAAUUAAAGGUUUAACUAAUGCUUAAUACUAUCGGUAAAGGACUUCACACUAAUGUUUCUAGGCGUAUUUGCUUCUUCACCUUAGUCCACUAUUUCGUUCUGGAAUUAAUUUUAAAUUAUUACUUCUUCAAAAUACUUUGCUUCGUAUACAUCAUAAGGUUGAUUUAGUAGAUAUCAAGACUACUCAAUCAUGGUUAUCUGUUUGAUUGUAAACAUUAAUGAUGAAAACAUAUAGGGGUUAGUCACAUCAAAACUGCUGUCCAAAUGUUGUGGGGAUACCAUUUCAUUAGCUUGUACUCUGAAUUUCCAGUUCAGCUGGUUCUAGUAAGGUUGUCAUCUGUAACAUUCAUGUGCUUUACAAUCGCAAAAGAGGGGAAAUAUAGCUUGGCCAGGUAUGAACUGGACUCACAUCCACACCUAUAUCAGUUAAACUAGGUGAAUUUGCCUUAAUUAUUAUGUCAUUAUAUCUUCAAUAGGUUAGGACACUUUGGAUAAUGCUUAUGCUAUUUCAAAGAUUUGGAAUGAUGCUCUAGUUCUUCUUUGUGGGGAUUUUAAUUGUACACCAAAGGUGAAUCACUUCUUUCACAAGUAAAGCGUCAGUUAGCAUUAUUUAAUGGGAAAUUUCUUUUUUUGUAUUUGUUGUUUAUGGACAGUAUUGGUAACUUUCGUCUUUUUAUAUGCUUUGAGUUUGAUGCCCUAACUAUAACAUUUUUGUUUUGGUGAGAGUCCAUUAUACAACUUUUAUUUCAGAGCUGAAGUUAGAUUUGUCUGGAGUCGAUAGAGAUAAGGUGUCAGGGCAAGCUUCUGCUCAAAUUCGUUCAUGGAAGCCAUAUAAUCCGAAUCCCGGGUGGGGUUUGUAAAAGGUCCAGCCUGCUGGUGGUUCAAUACAAGGUCCACUGGUGGUAGGUGAGGGGGAAGUUGGUGUUAAGCUGAGUGAUCCUCUCUCUGACAUGCAGAAGAACAAAGAAUAUGGUGAUGCUGAAAAUGUUCCUUUUUUGAACAGC